Lolium rigidum is the source of this 2717-nucleotide long non-coding RNA. RefSeq lists it as uncharacterized. The record is from RefSeq and is a predicted model, not a curated record. The transcript has 2 exons. NCBI's taxonomy places the organism in Eukaryota, Viridiplantae, Streptophyta, Magnoliopsida, Poales, Poaceae.
CGGCCGCAUCAGCCGCCGCUGACCGUCGACGCUGCUUCACCAUCUCCUCCUCCACCAAAUCCCUACCGGCGUUCUCUCUGUAUGCCCCACCUCACGUGCGCCCCGCAGCAAACCCUAGCCGUGGCUCGGGCUCGUCGAUGCAGACGCGAUGGUCGCCGGUCCUGGCUUCCACUCGCGAUCCCCUGUUGGCGCCGCCGCGUCGCCGUCCGCCCCAGCCGCUUCCGGCCCACUCCGGCGCCGCCGCUGGUCGGUUCUGCUCCACCUCCUUAUGCUCCACGAUUCCCCGCUCUUCGAUUUGAUUUACAUGGCAUGUCGCUCGCCCUCGAUCCCGGGAACCCUAGUGGGCACCGGUGAUUCUCCCGCCGCCGGCCUUCGCUCCGGUCGAUACCGUCCGCCUCCAACGCCGCCGUUUCUCCGUCUUGCUGUCCCCCCAUCAACUCCCCACCUAUGCAUCUCCUACAGCACUGCAUACUCAUUCGACGGCAACCCUGGCCAUGGGGUUCGACAUGGUUUCCGGUCAAUUCGGCCGGCCGUCGGCUGUCUCCAGCGCCGCCACGCAAACACGCGACACGGGUCGACCUCCGCCCUCUCCUCACUUCUGUGACGCCGCUACUCGCACCCUCGCCCCGGGCUAACCUUCUCUGGUUCUGCGGUGAUGUGGUGGUGGGGCUGGUGUGGGGAUUGGUUUUGGUGGUGAUGUACAUGUGGGGAAUGCUGCUGCUGAUGUUGUGUUGCUGGGAGUGGUGGUGAUGUGCUGCCCAUCGUAUCCUCGACGUCAGCGGAACGGUGCUGCGUACGCAACCCCGGCGGUGACUACUUUGUCUUCCUCCAUUACGACACUGUGAGCUAUUUCCACUCUUCUCUCGCUGUCUAUGACCUUGUGUUAAUCUAGAUGGUCCUAGUGGCUUGGUUAUUAACUUGCUGAUAAGUUGGUUAUGCCAUUACUGGUCUAUAUAUUCUGGGAUAAGACAUAUCAAUGUGGUUGGCCUAUUUCUGAUUAACUGUGCUACCUGUGGUAUUUCACUUUGGAGGAUUUAAUCAUCCCAGACCUGUAUGGUUUCAGUCCCAUUAUUACUGUCAAGAUGGAAGAUUAACUUCAGUUAACUUCUAUCCUGAGCUCUUCAACAUGCUUAUAUAUGAGUUCAGGUUUAGUGGCUUAAAAACUUGUUUGCUGAUAUGUUGGCGGAAUGCAUAACUUGGGUAUGAAUCACCUGUGGUUUAGAGGUGAACUUGCAUGCAUGCUUAUUGUAGUGUUACUGCUGGAUUUAGAUGGUCUGGAGGAUUAUCUGAUCAUGUUCAGGGUGGUACAGUAUAAAUGAAUGUGUUGUACAAAGUGGAUGCUUGGCCAGUUUACUGGACAUGAUUAUUAGCUGGGUUUCUCUCACAAAUCUAACUGCCCUCACAGAUGGUUUCUCUCUUUCUAAAUGCAAACUGAUAAGAACAAAGCCUAUGCUUGAUUUCCUUGUUUGGCUGAUUUAUUCAUCCAGGUAUAUAUGUUGUUAUGUUGCCGCGGUACAUAUAUUUGAUAAGAACAGAUACUCCUACUCUUGAUUGGGCUUAUUUGAGCUGUUUCUCUAGUUCUUGCCUUCUGCUGGUAGUUACUAAAUCAUGAGCAUACAUGAUUUAGCUCCACGUGUGGUACCAAAUGAUGAAUUUGAGCUUAUGGUGGCAUUUGCUUCUGUCUAUGCCAUCAAGUGAUAUUCACUCAAUGGUAUAGUCUUGGGGAAAAUAUUGCGUAAGUUCACAGAUGGAUUUAAAUGUGGGUCGAUGUAUUUGGAGGGUAUUGCAGUAGGUGGUCUUGCUGAUUGCCACUGCAGUGCUUCCAAAACCUCUUAAAAGUUGUAGAAAAUCUUUUGGGUUAGUAUAUGAUGCCUUUGGCUUAACCCAGAUCUGAUGGUGUUUUAAAUUGGGUUGAACUUGGUAGCUUUUGUAGUUGUGGUAAUCUGGUGCUAGUCACUUUUGCUCCUGGUUAUGUGUUGAUACUUUGUAACUAUGCAUACAGCUGGAUCUUGAGCUAAUAUGGCUUGGUACCAUUUAUUCUACUCUAUUUAAGUUGCCAGUUUUAUUCAGGUUUAAUACCAAGUGAUGAUAAAAACAUUCAAACAUUGAUGUUUGAUGCUUUUCCUAGAUUUACUUGUCUACAUGCUAUGCUGGAACUAAUCUGUUUCGAGUUUGAGAUUUGUACCUCACUCCAGCUCCUAGACAAAGUGUGUGUUAAUCUGAUUCAAGCUUCUGGUCUUGAUGAGCUUCUCCUCCUUGAGCUGAACAUGCUCCUCUUGACUCCUAGUAUGUCACCACCAUCUGGCUACUAGUUACUGAUCUUGCAGCUCUAGCUUGGUUGUGGUGAUGCCCUGCUUCUUUCAUGGUUGCUUUCUGAUGUUAUCUAAUGGUCUGCUAAAGAACAGUUGCUGUUCUUGGGCUGCUCUUGUUCUAUCAUGGAUAAUGUGCUAAACACUUGUGUGCUGCAAGGGAUGUCUCUUUUAUAUGGUGUUCUGGAGUUGUGGUUGGUCGACACCUAUGCCAUGCAAAGGGGUGUGUGUGCUGCCUGCAUGCCCGCUGGCUCACUUCAACAAAAGAGGAGGACAUUCAACAUUUAGUUUAGGAUAUAAUGUCUUUUCCUUAUACUUGUAAUUGUAAUUAUAUUUUUAUUCUUUAUUCAAUUUUGUAAAGACUUUGUAUUAUUGUGCAAAAUUAAUAAAAUUGUAUGUUCCCUAUUC